CUAAUUUUAGAUACCUUUAGUUUAUUUAUAAAACCGAUAGCUUCCUCAUUUAAACCAUGGAAAGCGCCAGUUCUGGGGUGCAAAAAUUUAUUGGAACAGAACAGGCUCAAAAGCAUGUUAAAAAAUGGAUUUGAUGCAUCGGUUAUUCAAAACAAUUAGAUUGUCCUUCAUUCCACUUAAUUGUGGCAUGAUUAUUAAGAGUUAUAAAAAUGGCUGUGUACAAUGGUUCAUUGAUUAUAGAGCAGAUUAUAGUUUGAGAGAUUCUGGAAGCUUUCUUUGCACAUCUUCCAAUGGACCCCAGAAUAACAAGUAAUUUACCCGCAAGAUUGGCGAUAAUGAAUUUGGUUAAAAUAUUGAGAAGUUUCGUUAUGAAGAAUGCUU
Long non-coding RNA from Ctenocephalides felis (cat flea), 381 nucleotides. RefSeq lists it as uncharacterized. Lineage: Eukaryota; Metazoa; Arthropoda; Insecta; Siphonaptera; Pulicidae. The transcript is spliced from 3 exons. The record is from RefSeq and is a predicted model, not a curated record.